RNA transcript from Mangifera indica (mango), 1187 nucleotides. RefSeq lists it as uncharacterized. The transcript is spliced from 9 exons. The record is from RefSeq and is a predicted model, not a curated record. Lineage: Eukaryota; Viridiplantae; Streptophyta; Magnoliopsida; Sapindales; Anacardiaceae.
GGUGAACUUAGAUGGGUCAGUCGAUCAGACAAUCCCAGUUGUAUGGACCAGGCCGAGCCGGGAAGAUUUGGGUUUGAAUUAAGGAAUCCAUUUUCAAAACAGAACUCUAAAAACCAGGAAAACAAGUUGAGAGACGAAGUAGGAAGAAGAAGAAGAUGGCGAAGCCAUUGCUAGUGUUGUGUUCAGUUUUGAUAUUUUCUAUUUUCUCUAUAGCCGUGUCAAUCGAAGAAAAAUGUGGAGCUUGCAUCGCUGUUGCGGAGGAGCUAGAGCUUGGUAUAUUGACGGAAAAACCGAGGAAUCAUUUGGAUAUGAGACAUCGUUUGGACUCAAAAGGUCAGCGUGUAGGAAAAGUAAUUGAUUACAGAGUCAGUGAGCUUAGAGUUGUUGAACUCUUGGAGGGGCUUUGUGAUAAGAUGCUAGAUUACACUCUUGAGAAGGUAGAUUCAACCAGAAGGGAGUGGCUCAAAGUAGAUCACUGGGACAACCUUACAAUUAGUAAACAAGAAGCUAAAGCAUAUGCGAAAGAUAUCUCCUCUUAUUGUGGAAGGUUACUUGAGGAAACUGAAGACGAGCUGGCAGAAUUGAUAAAGAAAGGAUCUAUUCAAGCAGGAGAUGUGAACAAGGUUCUCUGCCAAGAUUUAAGCAAGCAGUGUGACUUGUCAAGGUAUGCUGAAUGUGGAUUUUGUAAUUUCUUUGCUUAACAAAUAGUAGCUGCAACCAUGCAACUUCCAGUGCAGAAGGGCCCUUUUGUCAGCCAUAAUUUUGCACUCUGCUUAUAGCUUGUCAUGCAUUGCAUGGUAACUUCAACCAUAGUUGUCAAAGGCGAAAAGCGUCAAAAGGCAAUGAAGAGUCGUAUUGCCUAAGUGAAAAAGUGGUACACAGUUGGUGGAUGAUGACAACAAUGGAUCCGAUGGCGAACUGUAAGUCGCAAACUUAUUUUGAUCGGUAUACAAUUUGACUAAGCAAGCCAAUUAUCUAGGAAAUUUAUCUAAGAUGGGCAUCCUUCCUAAAGCGGUUAGGUUAUCGUAAAGUGAGAAUAGCUUAUUCUUCAAGACUGAUCAAAUUUUGUUUCUAAUUUUCAUAGGGCUGGGAGAGUAAUAGGAACAUGCUUGAUUUACUUUUAAUCUUCAGCCAUAGUCAGUGUAAUCUUAUAAUGGAUAUGAACAAUAUUUUCAUCCUUUCUUUUA